This 468-nucleotide ribosomal RNA is filed under the name uncultured bacterium. RNAcentral describes it as "partial 16S ribosomal RNA". It matches the Rfam family "Bacterial small subunit ribosomal RNA", at positions 28 to 507 of the family's 1533-position model. The record is from RNAcentral.
GACGAACGCUGGCGGCGUGCUUAACACAUGCAAGUCGAACGGAAAGGCCCUGCUUUUGUGGGGUGCUCGAGUGGCGAACGGGUGAGGAACACGUGAGUAACCUGCCCUUGACUUUGGGAUAACUUCAGGAAACUGGGGCUAAUACCGGAUAGGAGCUCCUGCUGCAUGGUGGGGGUUGGAAAGUUUCGGCGGGUGGGGAUGGACUCGCGGCUUAUCAGCUUGUUGGUGGGGUAGUGGCUUACCAAGGCUGUGACGGGUAGCCGGCCUGAGAGGGUGACCGGCCACAAUGGGACUGAGAUACGGCCCAGACUCGUACGGGAGGCAGCAGUGGGGAAUAUUGCACAAUGGGCGGACGCGUGAUGCAGAAACGCCGCGUGCGGGAUGACGGCCUUCGGGUUGUAAAACGCUUUCGCCUGUGACGAAGCGUGAGUGACGGUAACGGGUAAAGAAGCACCGGCUAACUACGUG